GACGAACGCUGGCGGCGUGCUUAACACAUGCAAGUCGAACGGAAAGGCCCUGCUUUUGUGGGGUGCUCGAGUGGCGAACGGGUGAGUAACACGUGAGUAACCUGCCCUUGACUUUGGGAUAACUUCAGGAAACUGGGGCUCAUACCGGGUAGGAGCUCCUGCUGCAUGGUGUGGGUUGGAGAGUUUCGGCGGUUGGGGAUGGACUCGCGGCUUAUCAGCUUGUUGGGGGGGUAGUGGCUUACCAAGGCUUUGACGGGUAGCCGGCCUGAGAGGGUGACCGGCCACCUUGGGACUGCGAUACGGCCCAGACUCCUACGGGAGGCAGCAGUGGGGAAUAUUGCACAAUGGGCGGAAGCCUGAUGCAGCAACGCCGCGUGCGGGAUGACGGCCUUCGGGUUGUAAACCGCUUUCGCCUGUGACGAAGCGUGAGUGACGGUAAUGGGUAAAGAAGCACCGGCUAACUACGUG
Molecule: ribosomal RNA, 468 nt
Filed under: uncultured bacterium
Lineage: Bacteria
Description: partial 16S ribosomal RNA
Rfam family: Bacterial small subunit ribosomal RNA
Source: RNAcentral